CCCUUAGAUGUCCUGGGCCGCACGCGCGCUACACUGAGUGUCUGAGAUACGAGUCUGCCUGGUCCGGCAAGGUCUAGGUAAUCGCUAAAAGACACAUCAUGCUUGGGAUAGAUUAUUGCAAAUUUUAAUCUUGAACGAGGAAUUCCUAGUAAGCGCAAGUCAACAGCUUGCGUUGAUUACGUCCCUGCCCUUUGUACACACCGCCCGUCGCUACUACUGAUUGGAUGUUUAAGCGAGGUUCUCGAACUGCUAGCGACUUAGCUUCGGUGAGGUCGCAGUGUGGGAAGUGAACCUAGCUUUGGUGUCUAGAGGAAGUAAAAGUCGUAACA
RNAcentral lists this ribosomal RNA (329 nucleotides) under uncultured eukaryote. RNAcentral describes it as "partial 18S ribosomal RNA". It matches the Rfam family "Eukaryotic small subunit ribosomal RNA", at positions 1470 to 1796 of the family's 1831-position model. The record is from RNAcentral.